GGUGGUACACGUGGAUGAUCUACCUCUGAGUGGGGAAUAACCCUGGGAAACCGGGGCUAAUACCGCAUAAACCCGAGAGGGGAAAGCAGCAAUGCGCUGGGAGAGGAGUCCGCGGCCGAUUAGCUAGUUGGUAGGGUAAAAGCCUACCAAGGCAAAGAUCGGUAGCCGGCCUGAGAGGGCACACGGCCACACUGGCACUGAAACACGGGCCAGACUCCUACAGGAGGCAGCAGUGGGGAAUCUUGCACAAUGGGGGAAACCCUGAUGCAGCGACGCCGCGUGAGCGAUGAAGCCCCUCGGGGUGUAAAGCUCUUUCGGCAGGGAAGAUGAUGACGGUACCUGCAGAAGAAGCUCCGGCUAACUACGUGCCAGCAGCCGCGGUAAUACGUAGGGAGCAAGCGUUGUCCGGAAUCAUUGGGCGUAAAGCGCGCGUAGGCGGC
Molecule: ribosomal RNA, 440 nt
Filed under: uncultured bacterium
Lineage: Bacteria
Description: bacterial SSU rRNA
Rfam family: Bacterial small subunit ribosomal RNA
Source: RNAcentral